AUACGGAGGGUGCAAGCGUUAAUCGGAAUUACUGGGCGUAAAGGGUGCGUAGGCGGCUUGAUAAGUCGGAUGUGAAAGCCCCGGGCUUAACCUGGGAAUUGCAUUCGAUACUGUCAGGCUAGAGUAUGUCAGAGGUUGGCGGAAUUCCUGGUGUAGCGGUGAAAUGCGUAGAUAUCAGGAGGAACACCAGUGGCGAAGGCGGCUAACUGGGACAAUACUGACGCUGAGGCACGAAGCGUGGGGAGCAAACAGGAUUAGAAACCCUAGUAGUCC
Molecule: ribosomal RNA, 273 nt
Filed under: uncultured bacterium
Lineage: Bacteria
Description: partial 16S ribosomal RNA
Rfam family: Bacterial small subunit ribosomal RNA
Source: RNAcentral